AGAGUUUGAUCCUGGCUCAGAACGAACGCUGGCGGCGUGGAUAAGACAUGCAAGUCGAACGGGACCAAAUUAGUAGCAAUACCGGUUUGGUUCAGUGGCGCACGGGUGAGUAACACGUGAGCAAUCUGCCGGGAAGUGGGGGAUAGCUCGCCGAAAGGCGAAUUAAUACCGCAUGUGGCUAUCUUUUGAUUAAUGGAAAAUCCAAAGCAGCAAUGCGCUUCCUGAUGAGCUCGCGGCCUAUCAGCUAGAUGGCGGGGUAAAAGCCCACCAUGGCGAUGACGGGUAGCUGGUCUGAGAGGACGACCAGCCACACUGGAACUGAGAUACGGUCCAGACACCUACGGGUGGCAGCAGUCGAGAAUUUUUCACAAUGGGGGCAACCCUGAUGGAGCGACGCCGCGUGGAGGAUGAAGGCCUUCGGGUUGUAAACUCCUGUCAUGCGGGAACAAGAAAGUGAUAGUACCGCAAGAGGAAGAGACGGCUAACUCUGUGCCAGCAGCCGCGGUAAUACAAAGGUCUCAAGCGUUGUUCGGAUUCAUUGGGCGUAAAGGGUGCGUAGGUGGUGAUGCAAGUCUGGUGUGAAAUCUCGGAGCUUAACUCCGAAAUUGCACCGGAUACUGCGUUGCUCGAGGACUGUAGAGGAGAUCGGAAUUCACGGUGUAGCAGUGAAAUGCGUAGAUAUCGUGAGGAAGACCAGUUGCGAAGGCGGAUCUCUGGGCAGUUCCUGACACUGAGGCACGAAGGCCAGGGGAGCAAACGGGAUUAGAUACCCUAGUAGUCC
Molecule: ribosomal RNA, 781 nt
Filed under: uncultured bacterium
Lineage: Bacteria
Description: bacterial SSU rRNA
Rfam family: Bacterial small subunit ribosomal RNA
Source: RNAcentral